GUGAGGAAUAUUGGUCAAUGGACGCAAGUCUGAACCAGCCAAGUCGCGUGAAGGAAGACGGUUCUAUGAAUUGUAAACUUCUUUUGUGCAGGAAUAAAGUGGGUUACGUGUAACCUUUUGUAUGUACUGUACGAAUAAGGAUCGGCUAACUCCGUGCCAGCAGCCGCGGUAAUACGGAGGAUCCGAGCGUUAUCCGGAUUUAUUGGGUUUAAAGGGUGCGUAGGUGGAUUGAUAAGUCAGCGGUGAAAGUUUGCAGCUUAACUGUAAAAUUGCCGUUGAAACUGUCGGUCUUGAGUGCAAAUGAGGUAGGCGGAAUGUGUUGUGUAGCGGUGAAAUGCUUAGAUAUAACACAGAACUCCGAUUGCGAAGGCAGCUUACUGGGAUGCAACUGACACUGAUGCACGAAAGCGUGGGUAUCAAACAGGAUUAGAAACCCGAGUAGUCC
Molecule: ribosomal RNA, 445 nt
Filed under: uncultured bacterium
Lineage: Bacteria
Description: partial 16S ribosomal RNA
Rfam family: Bacterial small subunit ribosomal RNA
Source: RNAcentral